Molecule: long non-coding RNA, 1180 nt
Organism: Oncorhynchus tshawytscha (Chinook salmon)
Lineage: Eukaryota; Metazoa; Chordata; Actinopteri; Salmoniformes; Salmonidae
Exons: 3
Source: RefSeq, a predicted model, not a curated record
UCCUGUCUGUGUGUACUGUACUGCCACCAAUGUGGCAACAAACGAUGGUCUGCUUCAGGGGAAGAAAUCUAAAGAAGAGAAAAAAACGACUAUCACAAGAACAGACACUCGGACUGGAGCCGAGGCUCAGUGGCCGACUGUGCAGGCAGUUUCAAACCAAGCAUCUCUGGGCACCAUCUCUCUCGGCUGGAGCUGGAGAAGAAGGUAGAGCUGGAGAAGGAGGUAGAGCUGGAGAAGGAGGCCGAGCUGGAGAAGGAGGCAGAGCUGGAGAAGAAGGUAGAGCUGGAGAAGGAGGUAGAGCUGGAGAAGGAGGUAGAGCUGGAGGUCUGCUACUAUAUCAGAGCAAGAGGGAGUGUAUUUUGGGGAUGUUGAGUUAUCUAGACAUUGGCCAGUCUGGCGGACCUUAUUGUUAAACCCAUCCUUGUCAAGGGGUUAUAGUCAGGGCCUCAGCCACAUGCCAUGCGUUCUAGCUAAAAGUACGUCUGAAGUGGUAUCCUAUCCUCAAAUCCCUAUACAGUCUAGUGCACUACUUUUGACCAGAGUCGUCCACUAAAUAGGGAAUAGGGUGCCAUUGAGGCUCUUGCCAAAAGUAGUACACUUUAUAGCAUGCAACCUUACUGCUUAUUUUCCUCACUAUCUGACAAGCUCUCCUAAUCUGCAUCCUAAUUGGGAGCCUAUUUCCUAGAGCACUAUGUUUGACCAGAACCCUAAUGGGCCCUGGUCCAAAGUAGUGCACAAUAAAGGGAAUAGGGUGCCAUUUGGGAUGCAACCCUAGUAAAGCUGGAGAUGAUACAGCCAGGCAGAGCUGAGGGAUGGAUUGGGGCACCACGAUAACGUUACCACGCCAGUCAGUCCGACUGGGUUCUGUAUGUGGACUCCCCCUCUGGUUUGGCUGGCGGGUGGUAGACGCCACAAGAAUCUGCACGCCCCAGCACAGCUCCCCAUUAAUCUUAAAAAUGAUGUAUGUGGUUUUCCACUCUACGUCUGAGGUUUGCUUUCCCAUGCUUGGGUUCACAUACAGGCUCCUGUCCAGCUCCUUCACUUUACAUCAACAGGACUCCUAGAACUUCUUAGGGUCCAUCCCAAAUGACACCCUAGUCCCUACAUAGUGCACUAUUUUUGACCAUGGCCCAAAGGACGCACCCCAGAUGAACAGGCCUCCUAGAAUCUCUUAGUGCUC